UAUUACAAUGAAGAGUUUGAUCCUGGCUCAGGAUGAACGCUAGCUACAGGCUUAACACAUGCAAGUCGAGGGGCAGCAUGGUCUUAGCUUGCUAAGGCCGAUGGCGACCGGCGCACGGGUGAGUAACACGUAUCCAACCUGCCGUCUACUCUUGGACAGCCUUCUGAAAGGAAGAUUAAUACAAGAUGGCAUCAUGAGUCCGCAUGUUCACAUGAUUAAAGGUAUUCCGGUAGACGAUGGGGAUGCGUUCCAUUAGAUAGUAGGCGGGGUAACGGCCCACCUAGUCUUCGAUGGAUAGGGGUUCUGAGAGGAAGGUCCCCCACAUUGGAACUGAGACACGGUCCAAACUCCUACGGGAGGCAGCAGUGAGGAAUAUUGGUCAAUGGGCGAGAGCCUGAACCAGCCAAGUAGCGUGAAGGAUGACUGCCCUAUGGGUUGUAAACUUCUUUUAUAAAGGAAUAAAGUCGGGUAUGCAUACCCGUUUGCAUGUACUUUAUGAAUAAGGAUCGGCUAACUCCGUGCCAGCAGCCGCGGUAAUACGGAGGAUCCGAGCGUUAUCCGGAUUUAUUGGGUUUAAAGGGAGCGUAGAUGGAUGUUUAAGUCAGUUGUGAAAGUUUGCGGCUCAACCGUAAAAUUGCAGUUGAUACUGGAUAUCUUGAGUGCAGUUGAGGCAGGCGGAAUUCGUGGUGUAGCGGUGAAAUGCUUAGAUAUCACGAAGAACUCCGAUUGCGAAGGCAGCCUGCUAAGCUGCAACUGACAUUGAGGCUCGAAAGUGUGGGUAUCAAACAGGAUUAGAUACCCUGGUAGUCCACACGGUAAACGAUGAAUACUCGCUGUUUGCGAUAUACGGCAAGCGGCCAAGCGAAAGCGUUAAGUAUUCCACCUGGGGAGUACGCCGGCAACGGUGAAACUCAAAGGAAUUGACGGGGGCCCGCACAAGCGGAGGAACAUGUGGUUUAAUUCGAUGAUACGCGAGGAACCUUACCCGGGCUUAAAUUGCAGAUGAAUUACGGUGAAAGCCGUAAGCCGCAAGGCAUCUGUGAAGGUGCUGCAUGGUUGUCGUCAGCUCGUGCCGUGAGGUGUCGGCUUAAGUGCCAUAACGAGCGCAACCCUUGUUGUCAGUUACUAACAGGUCAUGCUGAGGACUCUGACAAGACUGCCAUCGUAAGAUGUGAGGAAGGUGGGGAUGACGUCAAAUCAGCACGGCCCUUACGUCCGGGGCUACACACGUGUUACAAUGGGGGGUACAGAGGGCCGCUACCACGCGAGUGGAUGCCAAUCCCCAAAACCUCUCUCAGUUCGGACUGGAGUCUGCAACCCGACUCCACGAAGCUGGAUUCGCUAGUAAUCGCGCAUCAGCCACGGCGCGGUGAAUACGUUCCCGGGCCUUGUACACACCGCCCGUCAAGCCAUGGGAGCCGGGGGUGCCUGAAGUGCGUAACCGCGAGGAGCGCCCUAGGGUAAAACUGGUGACUGGGGCUAAGUCGUAACAAGGUAGCCGUACCGGAAGGUGCGGCUGGAACACCUCCUUUCU
RNAcentral lists this ribosomal RNA (1534 nucleotides) under Phocaeicola vulgatus. RNAcentral's name for it is "bacterial SSU rRNA". It matches the Rfam family "Bacterial small subunit ribosomal RNA". Lineage: Bacteria; Pseudomonadati; Bacteroidota; Bacteroidia; Bacteroidales; Bacteroidaceae. The record is from RNAcentral.